Molecule: ribosomal RNA, 468 nt
Filed under: uncultured bacterium
Lineage: Bacteria
Description: partial 16S ribosomal RNA
Rfam family: Bacterial small subunit ribosomal RNA
Source: RNAcentral
GACGAACGCUGGCGGCGUGCCUAACACAUGCAAGUCGAACGGAACCGCCCUGCUUUGGUGCGCUGGGCGAGUGGCGGACGGGUGAGUAACACGUGAGUAACCUGUCCCUGACUGUGGGAUAAGCUAAGGCAAGUGGGGCUAAUACGGGCUAGGAGCUCCUGCUGCAUGGUGGGGGUUGGAUAGUUUCGGCGGUUGGUGGUGGAAUCGCGUCUUAUGGGCUUGUUGGUGGGGUAGUGGCAUACCAAGGCCUUGACGGGUAGCAGGGCUGGGAGGGUAACCGGCCACAUCGCGACUGAGAUACGGCCCAGCCUCGAACGGGAGGCAACGGUGGGGAAUGUUACACAGUGGGAGGAGGGCUGGUGCGACAACGCCGCGUGCGGGAUGUCAGGCUGCGGGUUGUGAACUGCAUUCGCCUGAGACGAGGCGAUAGUGACGGUAACGGGUGAAGAAGCACCGGCUAACUACGUG